This 330-nucleotide ribosomal RNA is filed under the name uncultured eukaryote. RNAcentral describes it as "partial 18S ribosomal RNA". It matches the Rfam family "Eukaryotic small subunit ribosomal RNA", at positions 1470 to 1796 of the family's 1831-position model. The record is from RNAcentral.
CCCUUAGAUGUUCGGGGCCGCACGCGCGCUACACUGAAGGAAUCAGCACGUCUUUCUCCUUGUCCGAAAGGACUGGGUAACCCGCUGAACCUCCUUCGUGCUAGGGAUUGGGGCGUGUAAUUCUUCCCCAUGAACGAGGAAUUCCCAGUAAGCGCGAGUCAUAAGCUCGCGUUGAUUACGUCCCUGCCCUUUGUACACACCGCCCGUCGCUACUACCGAUUGGAUGGUUUAGUGAGAUCCUCGGAUUGGUCCCGGAGCGGCCUCUGGUCGUGCCGGAGUGCCGAAAAGAAUGUCGAACUUGAUCAUCUAGAGGAAGUAAAAGUCGUAACA